RNAcentral lists this ribosomal RNA (498 nucleotides) under uncultured Polyangiaceae bacterium. Its description in RNAcentral is "bacterial SSU rRNA". It matches the Rfam family "Bacterial small subunit ribosomal RNA", at positions 8 to 488 of the family's 1533-position model. The record is from RNAcentral. Lineage: Bacteria; Pseudomonadati; Myxococcota; Polyangiales; Polyangiaceae.
AGAGUUUGAUCAUGGCUCAGAACGAACGUUAGCGGCGCGCCUAACACAUGCAAGUCGCACGAGAAAGGGCUUCGGCCCCGGUACAGUGGCGCACGGGUGAGUAACACGUAGGUAAUCUUCCCUAGAGUGGUGGAUAACUCUCCGAAAGGAGAGCUAAUACAGCAUGAGACCACAGCAUCUACGGAUGCAGCGGUCAAAGCAGGCCUCUUCAUGAAAGCUUGCGCUCAAGGAUGAGCCUGCGGCCCAUCAGCUAGUUGGUGAGGUAACGGCCCACCAAGGCUAAGACGGGUAGCUGGUCUGAGAGGAUGAACAGCCACACUGGAACUGACACACGGUCCAGACUCCUACGGGAGGCAGCAGUGGGGAAUCUUGCGCAAUGGGCGAAAGCCUGACGCAGCGACGCCGCGUGAGCGAUGAAGGCCUUCGGGUUGUAAAGCUCUGUGGGGAGAGAAGAAUAAGGAUACGCUAACACCGUACUCGAUGACGGUUCUCCUAGCA